AGGGUUUGAUUAUGGCUCAGGAUGAACGCUAGCUACAGGCUUAACACAUGCAAGUCGAGGGGCAGCAUUUCAGUUUGCUUGCAAACUGGAGAUGGCGACCGGCGCACGGGUGAGUAACACGUAUCCAACCUGCCUUUUACUCGGGGAUAGGCUUUCGAAAAAAAGAUUAAUACCCGAUGGUAUAAUAUUCCUGCAUGGGAUUAUUAUUAAAGAAUUUCGGUAAAAGAUGGGGAUGCGUUCCAUUAGGCAGUUGGCGGGGUAACGGCCCACCAAACCUUCGAUGGAUAGGGGUUCUGAGAGGAAGGUCCCCCACAUUGGAACUGAGACACGGUCCAA
Molecule: ribosomal RNA, 336 nt
Filed under: uncultured bacterium
Lineage: Bacteria
Description: bacterial SSU rRNA
Rfam family: Bacterial small subunit ribosomal RNA
Source: RNAcentral